CCCUUAGAUGUUCUGGGCCGCACGCGCGCUACACUGACGAUGGCAACGAGUUUUUCCUUCGCCGAAAGGUGUGGGUAAUCUUUUGAAACAUCGUCGUGCUGGGGAUAGAUCAUUGCAAUUUUUGAUCUUGAACGAGGAAUUCCUAGUAAGCGCGAGUCAUCAGCUCGCGUUGAUUACGUCCCAGCCCUUUGUACACACCGCCCGUCGCUACUACCGAUUGAAUGGUUUAGUGAGGACUCCUGAUUGGCGCCGCCGCCCCGGCAACGGAGCAGCGGACUGCCGAAAAGUUGUUCAAACUUGAUCAUUUAGAGGAAGUAAAAGUCGUAACA
Molecule: ribosomal RNA, 329 nt
Filed under: uncultured eukaryote
Lineage: Eukaryota
Description: partial 18S ribosomal RNA
Rfam family: Eukaryotic small subunit ribosomal RNA
Source: RNAcentral